This 213-nucleotide ribosomal RNA is filed under the name Triticum aestivum (bread wheat). RNAcentral's name for it is "partial small subunit ribosomal RNA". The record is from RNAcentral. Lineage: Eukaryota; Viridiplantae; Streptophyta; Magnoliopsida; Poales; Poaceae.
UUAACGCAACAACAAUUCCCCCGGCCACAACAAUCCCCUGAACAACAACAAUUCCCCCAACAACAAUUCUCCCAGCAACCACCACAAAAAUUCCCCCAACAACAAUUUCCAAUACCAUACCCACCCCAGCAAUCACAAGAACCUUCCCCAUACCAACAAUAUCCACAACAACAACCAUCUGGGAGCGACGUUAUAAGUAUCAGUGGCCUAUGA